UGUGAUUGCCAAAAAGACCCUUUAUUUCUAAAUCAAUUUGGGGCUAAAUCUGCUUCAGCUCAAAUGAGGAACUUGUAAGCCGACAAUUUUAUUUCGAUUGGUCACCUGCGCCUUCAUUCGCCUUCAGUUUUCAGAUCGGCUUCAUAUCUGGGCAAUAUAAAUUUGGGCAUAUGCGAUCGGCGUCGGUUUUCAAUGGGUAACGCAGAGGAUUCCCGAAAGGGUUGCUUAGGUGCUUUAGAUGGUACUUACAUCAAUGUUCGUGUCCCAAUUGGUGACGUUCCCCGGUACCGUAAUCGAAGAGGUCACAUCACCACCAAUACACUAGCCGUGUGUGACCCCCAGCUCAGAUUCACUUACCUCCUUCCUGGCUGGGAAGGCUCGACAGCCGAUUCAAGGAUUUUAAGGGAUGCUAUCAGCAGACCCUUAGGUCUGAAAGUACCCAAAGGUGUUGUUUACACACUUUUAUAAUAAAUUCAUC
Molecule: long non-coding RNA, 478 nt
Organism: Salvia splendens (bonfire salvia)
Lineage: Eukaryota; Viridiplantae; Streptophyta; Magnoliopsida; Lamiales; Lamiaceae
Exons: 3
Source: RefSeq, a predicted model, not a curated record